Long non-coding RNA from Cyprinus carpio carpio, 1070 nucleotides. The record is from Ensembl. Lineage: Eukaryota; Metazoa; Chordata; Actinopteri; Cypriniformes; Cyprinidae.
CUUUUAAGAACAAUUUUGCACUUUACACCACAAAGGAAGCGGCAUGUAAUUUUGUCCUCUAUUCUCUCUUCUUUUAUGUGUUCUCAUUCCUGGAAUUGAAUCAUCAGAGUGGACAGAAGGGCUUAGUGAUUUCAGCCUGGACACAAAUUAAACAAUUAACCAGAGAUUCACAACCAUCGGGGGCUGCUUUGUCUUCCUGUUUGCCAUUUUGUCCUAUUGGGAAACAAACAAGUAGGAGAAAGAUCCAAUUACCUUCUUCAAGAGGAGAGGCAAUUCUCUUUAACGUGAUUGUCUCAGAUCUGCCACAUUAGAAGGUCAACGCCAAAUGAUGCUUCCUGGUACCUCCUGUCUGUCUGUGCAUCCAACAGGAAGAGCUAACAAGACAGAGCGUUCCUGCACUUAUACAAAAGCGAUACAAGACAACACAUCUGAUACAGGAAUGGAAAUCCAACCCUUGUCAUGAUAAAACAAUGCAGUUUUGCGAUGGAGAUUUGUUCAGCCAGACGGCGCCAUGAUGGGUGUGCUGGAGUGUGAUAAUUCAAGAGCUGCAGGGGAGGACUGUGAUUUAUGGGAUAUCCUUUAUGCGUUACAAAAUGUGUUCUUUCGAAAGCCCACCCCCAACAAUUCAUAUGAGUCAUUUCCCUAAUUGAUAGUUGCCUGGAAACUCUAUGAGAGGGGCUGAAAAAGACUAAUAAUGUACAAAAUAUAGUGUGUGUUGAUCAAGACCAGUAAAACGAAAUGUUACAGUUUCAUCGACUUGCUUGAGACUAUUGAUUUUGAAUUGAUAUGGGUUUACACACUACACUGUGCCUGCGAGGUCACUCAUAAUGAAGUAUGGAUUAACAAUGAUGUUUUAAAACAAUGCCAUAUCUUUUGUACAGAUAUCAGGUGUGAUGUCACCGCACCUAAUGCGUUUCAAAUGACGCAAAUGUACAGCGCUACAUCCAGAUUAUUAUAGGCUCUAUUUGAGUGCUGUCUCAAUUCCCAUCAUAAAAGCUAUUGAUUACUCCCUACUUACACUCUCACGCUUGUGCUCAGCCACUGGGAUAUUGGCAUUAAUUUCUCCAAGU